CCUACGGGAGGCAGCAGUGGGGAAUAUUGCACAAUGGGGGAAACCCUGAUGCAGCGACGCCGCGUGAGUGAAGAAGUAAUUCGUUAUGUAAAGCUCUAUCAGCAGGGAAGCAAAUGACGGUACCUGAGUAAGACGCCACGGCUAACUACGUGCCAGCAGCCGCGGUUAUACGUAGGGGGCAAGCGUUAUCCGGAUUUACUGGGUGUAAAGGGAGCGUAGACGGCAGUGCAAGUCUGGAGUGAAAGGCGGGGGGUCAACCCCCGGACUGCUCUGGAAACUGUAAGGCUGGAGUGCAGGAGAGGUAAGUGGAAUUCCUAGUGUAGCGGUGAAAUGCGUAGAUAUUAGGAAGAACACCAGUGGCGAAGGCGGCUUACUGGACUGUAACUGACGUUGAGGCUCGAAAGCGUGGGGAGCAAACAGGAUUAGAUACCCUUGUAGUC
RNAcentral lists this ribosomal RNA (440 nucleotides) under uncultured bacterium. Its description in RNAcentral is "partial 16S ribosomal RNA". It matches the Rfam family "Bacterial small subunit ribosomal RNA", at positions 338 to 795 of the family's 1533-position model. The record is from RNAcentral.